RNAcentral lists this ribosomal RNA (301 nucleotides) under uncultured bacterium. RNAcentral's name for it is "partial 16S ribosomal RNA". It matches the Rfam family "Bacterial small subunit ribosomal RNA", at positions 509 to 808 of the family's 1533-position model. The record is from RNAcentral.
CAGUAGCCGCGGUAACACGUAGGUGGCAAGCGUUGUCCGGAAUUAUUGGGCGUAAAGGGAGCGCAGGCGGUUUAGUAAGUCUGAAGUUAAAGGCACUGGCUCAACCAAUGUAUGCUUUGGAAACUGUUAGACUUGAGUGCAGAAGGGGAGAGUGGAAUUCCAUGUGUAGCGGUGAAAUGCGUAGAUAUAUGGAGGAACACCAACAGCGAAAGCACUCUGCUGGGACGACACUGACACUAAGAGACGAAAGCUAGGGGAGCAAAUGGGAUUAGAUACCCCCGUAGUCCCUGUCUCUUAUACA